UAGGGAAUCUUCGGCAAUGGACGAAAAGUCUGACCGAGCAACGCCGCGUGAGUGAAGAAGGUUUUCGGAUCGUAAAACUCUGUUGGUAGAGAAGAACGUUGGUGAGAGUGGAAAGCUCAUCAAGUGACGGUAACUACCCAGAAAGGGACGGCUAACUACGUGCCA
Molecule: ribosomal RNA, 165 nt
Filed under: uncultured bacterium
Lineage: Bacteria
Description: partial 16S rRNA
Rfam family: Bacterial small subunit ribosomal RNA
Source: RNAcentral